RNAcentral lists this long non-coding RNA (209 nucleotides) under Musa acuminata (dwarf banana). Its description in RNAcentral is "long non-coding RNA (MACU_LNC011842)". The record is from RNAcentral. Lineage: Eukaryota; Viridiplantae; Streptophyta; Magnoliopsida; Zingiberales; Musaceae.
UCACGGCCAGCUCGAUAUUGGGCCUAGAGGGUCACACACAUAUGGUAGGCAUUGGGAUGAGUAGAGGUUCGGAUAUGAGAUAUCCGAUGGAGCCCUUGUCUUAUUGGAUGCAGAUCCAAUACCCACUAGAGAAGGACCCAUUAGGGUUUGACACGGGAUCUCUAUAAAUAGGAGGGAUUCACAGCCUCAUAGGCUAGAGUCUUUGCUUG